Molecule: ribosomal RNA, 460 nt
Filed under: uncultured bacterium
Lineage: Bacteria
Description: bacterial SSU rRNA
Rfam family: Bacterial small subunit ribosomal RNA
Source: RNAcentral
CUACGGGAGGCAGCAGUAAGGAAUAUUGGUCAAUGGAGGCAACUCUGAACCAGCCAUGCCGCGUGCAGGAUGACGGCCCUAUGGGUUGUAAACUGCUUUUGUACCAGAGAAAACCCCAGUACGUGUACUGGGUUGAUAGUAUGGUAAGAAUAAGCAUCGGCUAACUUCGUGCCAGCAGCCGCGGUAAGACGAAGGAUGCAAGCGUUAUCCGGAUUCAUUGGGUUUAAAGGGUGCGUAGGCGGACUUGUAAGUCAGUGGUGAAAUCUCUCAGCUUAACUGAGAAACUGCCAUUGAUACUGCAGGUCUAGAGUAUAGAUGACGUUGGCGGAAUAUGACAUGUAGUGGUGAAAUACUUAGAUAUGUCAUAGAACACCGAUUGCGAAGGCAGCUAACGAAACUAUAACUGACGCUGAGGCACGAAAGUGCGGGGAUCAAACAGGAUUAGAUACCCUAGUAGUCC